RNAcentral lists this long non-coding RNA (369 nucleotides) under Fukomys damarensis (Damara mole-rat). RNAcentral's name for it is "lncRNA (ENSFDAG00000027367.1)". The record is from RNAcentral. Lineage: Eukaryota; Metazoa; Chordata; Mammalia; Rodentia; Bathyergidae.
UUGAGCAUCCCUGCAGGGAGGUUUGGGUCUGGGCUCACACUGAGGACCCUUCACUGUGUCUCACGCAGUAAUACAAGGCUGUGUCCUCGGGGGUCACAGAGUUCAAUCGCAGAAAAACCUGGUUCUUGGCUGUGUCUCUGGAGAUGGUGAUGCGGCUAGCAAGAGUUGGGUUGUACUUAGUGACACUAUCAUGACCUAUUUCUCCCAUCCACUCCAGCCUCUUCUGUGAGUUCUGGCGGAUCCAGUGCCACCAGUAACCACUGCUGGUGAUGGAGAAUCCAGAGAUUGAGCAGCCCACAGCUCAGACUUCUCCAGCCGAGUCUUGGCAGAGGACUGCGAGCUCCCACAGCUCAAGAGGGGAAUUUGAAC